This 492-nucleotide ribosomal RNA is filed under the name uncultured bacterium. RNAcentral's name for it is "partial 16S ribosomal RNA". It matches the Rfam family "Bacterial small subunit ribosomal RNA", at positions 29 to 507 of the family's 1533-position model. The record is from RNAcentral.
AGUGAACGCUGGCGGUAGGCCUAACACAUGCAAGUCGAACGGCAGCACAGUAAGAGCUUGCUCUUACGGGUGGCGAGUGGCGGACGGGUGAGGAAUACAUCGUAAUCUACUUUUUCGUGGGGGAUAACGUAGGGAAACUUACGCUAAUACCGCAUACGACCUACGGGUGAAAGCAGGGGAUCGUCGGACCUUGCGCGAUUGAAUGAGCCGAUGUCGGAUUAGCUAGUUGGCGGGGUAAAGGCCCACCAAGGCGACGAUCCGUAGCUGGUCUGAGAGGAUGAUCGGCCACACUGGAACUGAGACACGGUCCAGACUCCUACGGGAGGCAGCAGUGGGGAAUAUUGGACAAUGGGCGCAAGCCUGAUCCAGCCAUACCGAGUGGGUGAAGAAGGCCUUCGGGUUGUAAAGCCCUUUUGUUGGGAAAGAAAAGCAGCAGGUUAAUACCCCGCUGUUCUGACGGUACCCAAAGAAUAAGCACCGGCUAACUUCGUG